CCCCUCCCCGCCUCCCUGCCCACCAGCAGCCGCAGCCGUGAGCCGGCUUCCAGCAAGGAGCCGGCGAGCAGCACAAAGGAAAUGGCAAGAGGAUGUAAGAAAUUUCACAUUUUCUGGGAGUGACCAAAAAAAAAAAGUGUGUGGUUAAACUUUGAGCAGAGAUUCCCAAGUUGCACUUGAAGGAUUCUUGAAGAUGUGUGCUCCUACCCUGGAGGGGAGAGUGCCUGCUGGGGUUCCCAGUUCUCAACACUUGGUGAUCUUUACAAAUCUAGAGAGAAGAUCAGAAUGGACAUAUAGCUCGGGGCCACUUCACCUUAAAAAUGCUACCUGGUGUGUGUAAGAACCCCCACAGAUGGGGAGGAAAGCCUGAUUUAAGGCUGUAAAGAUAAUGACAUUCAUUAAAAACAAACUGAGAAGACAA
Molecule: long non-coding RNA, 421 nt
Organism: Capra hircus (goat)
Lineage: Eukaryota; Metazoa; Chordata; Mammalia; Artiodactyla; Bovidae
Exons: 3
Source: RefSeq, a predicted model, not a curated record